UUCUGUGUGAGAACAGGCUACAGUGAAAAUGAACAAGCAACAUAGUUUCUGAUCAUUGACCGUCCAGUAUUUAAUCGUUAGGCUCACGUACAUUCACCAUAUGAUGUAUAACAUCCGUGUACUAAAAAACUCAACGCACACAUUAUGACAGACAGGUAUUGGUGUGUUAUUAGCAGAACACAUAAUGACAGACAGGUAUUGGUGUGUUAUUAGCAGAACACAUUAUGACAGACAGGUAUUGGUGUGUUAUUAGCAGAACACAUUAUGAUAGACAGGUAUUGGUGUGUUAUUAGCAGAACACAUUAUGAUAGACAGGUAUUGGUGUGUUAUUAGCAGAACACAUUAUGAUAGACAGGUAUUGGUGUGUUAUUAGCAGAACACAUAAUGACAGACAUAUUGGUGUGUUAUUAGCAGAACACAUUAUGAUAGACAGGUAUUGGUGUGUUAUUAGCAGAACACAUAAUGACAGACAUAUAUUGGUGUGUUAUUAGCAGAACACAUUAUGACAGACAUGUAUUGGUGUGUUAUUAGCAGCAGGUGGCUGUUGUUUAUCGCUCAUUCAGCGAUAAUGCGCUGUCUGCUGGCUGAUAUCGGUAAGCUGUCAGAGCUAAUGGAAAUAUAUUCACUUCCUUUGACAACAUGGAGUGAGAGGUUCCCUGUCUCUAUCCCAACCUCUCUGUAUCAGCAGUGCGCACAGUUCUGUUCUGGAAGAUUCCACUAUAGAAAGGGGAGAUGGGGGGGAACGGAGCAUUUUGAUUGGCCCGUCAAGCACAGCACUGUAGCAGGCUAUAGUGUUUUUUCCCCCUGCUUCGGUCAGUAUGUCUUUUACCUUUUUUUCAUUACUGUUCUCUCUCUCUUUCCCUCUCUUUUCUCUCCCCCUCUCUUUCCCUCUCUUUUCUCUCCCCCUCUCUUACCCUCUUUUCUCUCCCGCUCUCUUUUCCUCUCCCCCCUCUCUCU
Molecule: long non-coding RNA, 957 nt
Organism: Oncorhynchus keta (chum salmon)
Lineage: Eukaryota; Metazoa; Chordata; Actinopteri; Salmoniformes; Salmonidae
Exons: 3
Source: RefSeq, a predicted model, not a curated record